This 26-nucleotide non-coding RNA is filed under the name Cricetulus griseus (Chinese hamster). The record is from RNAcentral. Lineage: Eukaryota; Metazoa; Chordata; Mammalia; Rodentia; Cricetidae.
CAUGGUAUGUAGAUGGAGGUCAAAAA